RNAcentral lists this ribosomal RNA (1503 nucleotides) under metagenome. RNAcentral describes it as "bacterial LSU rRNA". It matches the Rfam family "Bacterial large subunit ribosomal RNA", at positions 1429 to 2912 of the family's 2925-position model. The record is from RNAcentral.
AAAAAAAUUCCGGCACCAGGCACGACUGCGAUGAGGGGACGGAGAAGGCUAGGUCAUCCGGGCGUUGGUUGUCCCGGUUCAAGCGUGUAGGCAGAGGGCUUAGGCAAAUCCGGACCCUUAAUGCCGAGGCGUGACGACGAGUGCCCACGGGCACGAAGUGAUCGAUGCCACGCUUCCAAGAAAAGCCUCUAAGCUUCAGGUCGUGCGUGACCGUACCCCAAACCGACACAGGUGGGCAGGGUGAGAAUCCCCAGGCGCUUGAGAGAACUCGGGUGAAGGAACUAGGCAAAAUAGUACCGUAACUUCGGGAGAAGGUACGCCCCAAGUCAGUGAAGGCCCUGCGGCCGGAGCUAAACGGGGUUGCAGUGACCAGGCCGCUGCGACUGUUUAUUAAAAACACAGCACUCUGCCAACACGAAAGUGGACGUAUAGGGUGUGACGCCUGCCCGGUGCCGGAAGGUUAAUUGAUGGGGUUAUCCGCAAGGAGAAGCUCUUGAUCGAAGCCCCGGUAAACGGCGGCUGUAACAAUAACGGUCCUAAGGUAGCGAAAUUCCUUGUCGGGUAAGUUCCGACCUGCACGAAUGGCGUAACGAUGGCGGCGCUGUCUCCACCCGAGACUCAGUGAAAUUGAAUUCUCGGUUAAGAUGCCGAGUUCCCGCGGCUAGACGGAAAGGCCCCGUGAACCUUUACUAUAGCUUUGCACUGGACGUUGAACCGACUUGUGUAGGAUAGGUGGGAGGCUGUGAACUUGGGACGCCAGUUCCGAGGGAGCCAUCCUUGAAAUACCACCCUGGUCUGUUUGACGUUCUAACCUCGCUCCGUCAUCCGGAGCAGGGACCGUGCAUGGUGGGUAGUUUGACUGGGGCGGUCUCCUCCCAAAGCGUAACGGAGGAGCACGAAGGUACCCUAAUCCCGGUCGGAAAUCGGGAGUUUAGUGCAAAGGCAUAAGGGUGCUUGACUGCGAGACAGACACGUCGAGCAGGUACGAAAGUAGGUCUUAGUGAUCCGGUGGUUCUGUAUGGAAGGGCCAUCGCUCAACGGAUAAAAGGUACUCCGGGGAUAACAGGCUGAUACCGCCCAAGAGUUCAUAUCGACGGCGGUGUUUGGCACCUCGAUGUCGGCUCAUCACAUCCUGGGGCUGAAGUCGGUCCCAAGGGUAUGGCUGUCCGCCAUUUAAAGUGGUACGCGAGCUGGGUUUAGAACGUCGUGAGACAGUUCGGUCCCUAUCUGCCGUGGGCGUUGGAGACUUGAGGGAAGCUGCUCCUAGUACGAGAGGACCGGAGUGGACGAACCCCUGGUGUUCCGGUUGUCACGCCAGUGGCAUUGCCGGGUAGCUACGUUCGGACGGGAUAACCGCUGAAAGCAUCUAAGCGGGAAGCCCCUCCCAAGAUGAGGUCUCCCUAGGCACUCGAUGCCUCUGAAGGUCCGUUGAAGACUCCGACGUGGAUAGGCGGGAUGUGGAAGUCCAGUAAUGGAUGGAGCUAACCCGUACUAAUUGACCGU